RNAcentral lists this ribosomal RNA (253 nucleotides) under uncultured bacterium. Its description in RNAcentral is "partial 16S ribosomal RNA". It matches the Rfam family "Bacterial small subunit ribosomal RNA", at positions 524 to 776 of the family's 1533-position model. The record is from RNAcentral.
UACGGAGGGUGCGAGCGUUGUCCGGAAUCACUGGGCGUAAAGGGCGCGUAGGCGGCUCAUGAAGGCUGUGGUGAAAGUCCGGGGCUCAACCUCGGAUCGGCCGUGGCGACUCGUGGGCUGGAGCACUGUAGAGGCGGGUGGAAUUCCGGGUGUAGCGGUGGAAUGCGUAGAGAUCCGGAAGAACACCAGUGACGAAGGCGGCCCGCUGGGCAGUGGCUGACGCUGAAGCGCGACAGCGUGGGGAGCAAACAGG